UUAGAUAUUUAUUAUUUCCAUUAUCAUGUACUUAAUUAUCACCGAGCUUUUUUUUCUUAAUUUUCAUAAUCGGUUUCGGAUUUACUCUUGUUUAGAUUAAUUUCUUCGAUACGAACAUAGGAAUAAUUUAUUUGUUUUGUUUUGUUUUGUUCUGUUCUGUUCGAUGCUUCAUGAUUCAAUUAUAUUUCGAUUAUACUUUAACGUCUGAUUUUUCUUUUUUCUCUGUCACUCUAUCUGCCGUUGCGGAAUACCUCUCUUAUGUUUCAUCUGUUUCCAUAGGUUACAAUUCGUUCUUCAUUAUGUUCUUCUUAACUGCUACAUUAUCUGCAUCUUUUUCGAAAUUUUAACUGUGCAGAGAAGAUGCCAUGUCAAAGAAAUGUAUUCUGCAUCGUAUUUGCAUUUGAACUCUUUUUCAUGGUCCGGACUUAUUCCUUAAUUUCACUUGUCAGGAAACUUCUUUCUAAUUAAAUACUUCUGCUGCUAUGUCAUCUGAACACUGGAUCUCCAGAAUUUUCUAUCCAUAAUAAGUCAAUGUUCAUGGCUCAGUAUAUAUCUAUUCUGCUACUUUAAUCCAUCCAAACAUAAAUUGACAGAUAUUUAAUUUUUCUCAAAUAAACUGCCAUUGCAGUAGCUUAUUGCUUCUUCUCUCCAUCAGAAAAUGAUAAAAAAACUAUACCACAAACUGUUUCUUCUUUCACGUUUAUUAUAUUUUAAAAAGACGUUAUGCUACUUUAACAAGUGAAUUACCAGGGCUACUUUUUAAUUUAUCUUAAUCAGUUUAUCUGCGGUUCAUUAAUGUGUUUCUUUUGUUUCAUUUGUUGACAUGGGUCACCACAUCUUCCUUCGACUUGUUCACUUCUACAUUAUCUGAUUGACAUAAAUUCAAAAGUAGCCCUUCUACCCUGGCAAACAAAUAUAUAUCAACUGAUACCACCAGAGGGCAUAAAAUAUCUCUUACAUUGGUUAUUCACCAGGUAAUUUUUUAUCUUAAAUUUUCCUACAAUCGUACCUUUUAUGCUUAUAGACCUAUAAUAAUGGGAAAGACAUGUAUUCAUAAUAUCAGCACAUUGGUGGAAACUUCUUUCUAAUUAAAUACUUCUGCUGCUAUUUUCUGUUGAUGUAUAAAAUCUUGUAACAAACAUGCUAUGUCAUCUGAACACUGUUGAUGUAUAAAUUCGUUCUAUGUUUGCUCUUGUUUCUCCAGGUUGGGUCCUUUGUUCUACAGGUUCCCCUUGGUUUUGAUAGAUUUCUCUUAGCAGUGCACAUGUUAGUAUAUGCUUUCAUGGAUUUUUUGUAUAGUUGCUGCCUCAAAUUCCUUCUUGAUUGAUGUUGCUUUGGUGAGCUUAGCUUAUUCUGCCUCUUCGGGAUUCCUCUUGGUUAAUAUACUUUCCUUACCAGAAAAAAUAAAUUUGUGACGUUCUUUCUCUGAUGGAUUUCCCAAGGGAUUAUAAUAUAUUAGUGUUUUUCAAUGCAGAAUAAUAUCUCACUGAAGUUGACAAAUCAGCAGGUCUUCUUUUAUAGUUUUUCUUCAUUGUUUCUAAAUUGAUUCUUCCCCCCCAUUUUUCUUUGUUUGUACAACUUUUACCUUACGUAGAUAUCUCCACGAAUCUGGUAUCUUCGUCUUUUCAAUGGUGUUGCAGAUACAAGGACAAAAUCAAAGAUGGCACAGUCUUUGUCUGAACCUGUUUACACUAUGUAUUAUGUAUGAUUUAACUGUUCUUGUAAUGACAUGGACCACUUCUUAUGUGUCAUGUUGCAGAUAUGAAUUUUCGACACAAUUGCAAACAACUUGUACUCAACUCGGGUGGGUCUUUCCAUUUUCUAGUUAGCACAAACAAGACCAUUAUUUUUGUCAUGACUCACUAAUUAUAUAUAUCAAUACGUUGAUCUCGUGUGGCUUAAUGCUUCUUAUGUUUCAUCCUUUCCAAUCUCCCUAUGGGAUAUCUCCAAACCUUUUUUUACUCCUUACGGUGUUCUAUAAAAUUUUGAACUACUAUAUAUGACAACAUUUUCCUGUUUUUCAUUCUACUAAGAUAAUUUGUCCCCACAUUCUUAUUCCAUUAUCCUUAUUUCUUUCUUUGCUGCUACGGCUUCCGAUCCUGCACCCGAUUUGCCAACAUCUCAUUCUUUCUUCCCCGUGGGUGGCCACAUGCUCUGGGGUCUGCUAGCAGGUUCUUUCUUCUCCUUGUUUAUUUAUUUGGAUUGCUACUUCUUCAUUCAAUUCCAGAAGAAUAAUGUUUCUGUUUGGGCGUGAGGGUUAAUAUAAUUUGUUGAUGCUUAUUUUAUGUACAAAUAAUACACCCAAAAAAAAUAAAUUUCCUGCAAUGUGCCCAUUGCAUUUAGAAGAGCUGCAACUUAAAUGAAUAAGCUUACCGGAUGACACACAUCAGUCUUUACCGGCAGGUACCAAGUACAAAUGUAAUUAACAUUAGUUUUAUAUGCAGUCUGUAUUGUGGUGUUAUCUUCUGCCCAGUUGCUUGUAUUAUAUAUCUCAUUUUCGCUAUAUCGAUGCAUAAAAAGUUAUCACAAUCUGUUACCUGUGGUUGCAUUUUUCUUGGUCACCAUGAGUCACUGCAACUUUAUUGAUACUACUAUCCUGCAAAUCAAAUGCUAAACACUUGCAUAAAAGUCCUUGCAAAUCCAUUUAAUUACCAGCAAUCAUCUGAUUCUGUAUCUCUAUGUGAUGAAAUUCUCGACUGCAUUGUUCUACACUUGCAUAAAACUACAUUGGUGCCUUGAAUGAAUGUUUAUUGCACUAUAAUGUUACAGAUAUUAAUUCUGCAUCUUAUUUGCAUUUGAAUUCAUUUUGAUUGUAUUUUAUAUGAUCAUGUGAAACCAUAAAGUACUAAUCUAUUAUUUUGUUAAUUUUACAGCUUUACUUUUUUACAGUAUUGCGUAUGUAUUAUGCACGGUUGACAAUUUAACAUUAUAUAUAUUGAAUAAUUUGUACUGAAUUAUCCAAAAUAAUUACAUGACCCCCUUCUGAAAUUCUCCAGAUAUGUAUUUUCGACACAAUCUCAAGUUACUGCUACUGAGAUUGUGUCUUUCUAUUUUCCUGUAUUAAUUUACAAUGGUUCAGUCAGUAAUAGUUUCUGUCUAUCAGUUUAUCACUCAGUAAAAGUUUUACAUGUUGCAAAUAUGUUUUGGAACUUAUUUGAAUUUGCAUAAUUUAUUCUGCUGUGUGAUUGCCUAAUUAAAAAAAAACUGUCCUGGAACCCAUGAUACAGACAAACAACGGCCAAUAGAUAGAUUUAUUGUACUAGAAUCGUGGUACAUUACAAGGUAAACAGGUAAGGAUAAACUUUUUUUCAAACCAUAUUUGAUCUCUUGUUUCAGUCAUAAUUAAUUUCGGAGUUCAGUUAUGUCUGUGCUGUUCUGCUAUACCAACCGAUUUAGGAUGCUUCCUGAUUCAAUUAUAUUUCGAUUAUACUUUAACGACUGAUUUAGGACUUCUGAUUUUUCUUUCUUCAAAGUCACUCUAUCUGCGGCUGCGGAAUACGUUUCUUAAUUUUCGUUUGUUUUCCAUAGGGUUUAGGAUUCGUUCUUCAUUAUGUUCUUGUUAACUGCUACAUUAACUGCUAAAUUGACAGAUUUUUCAUUUUUCUCAAUUACUGUGAUUGCAGUAGUGACGUCGCAUUUUUAGUUCCGUCAGAAAAUUAUAGAAAAACUAUACCACAAACUGUUUAUUCUUUCACUUUAAUUAUAUUUUAAAAAGACAUUCUGCUACUUUAACAAGUGAAUUAGAAGGGCUACUUUUUAAUUUAUCUCAAUUGGUUUAAUGUGUUGCUUUUGUUUCAUUUGUUGCCAUGGGUCACCACAUCUUCCUUGAACUUGUUCACCUCUAAAGUAUCUUAAAUUUUAUACAAUGGUACCUCUUAUGUUUAUAGACCUAUGAUGGGAAAGACAUGCAUUCUGCAUCUUAAUUUACCUUGAAAAUGUUUUAAUUGGCUGCACUUGUUCCUUCAAUAAUAGAACUUUAAGUUAUUAUUCAUAAUAGCAGCACAUUGGUGGAAACUUCUUUCGAAGUAAAUAACAUGCCAACCAGACCUCUGCCAGCUUUCUCACAAAUGGGCUAUGCAGAAUGGUCCAACUUCUUUCUUUCUUUCACAAUAUUUUUUUUCCCUUAUGUUGUCGUAUCAGUGCUCACAAUAUUUUGUUUCUUUAUAUAUAUGUCUGAAGAAUGUGAGUUAUAUAGCAUAACAGAUGCUAUUCAGCUACUACAAUCCAUUUGCUACUUUAAUUUGGAAAAAACAAUAACCACGAAUUCUUUGAUUGAUUGUAAGAUCAUACUUUCUUUUGCCUCAAGAAAGAAUCGUUGCCUUCAUAUUUUCAUUUGUUUCCAUAGGGUUUAGGAUUCGUUUCUUUUGCCUUCAUUCUCUUACAUACUUCUUUCUGGCUCAAUCAUUUUGCAGGAUAUCAAAAUAAUAGCGGAGGUCUCCUCUACCAUUGAUCUGCUUCAGAUAUAUGAGUCUCCCUCUGCCAGAUAUCUCUGAGACGGCUACAGAUGUUUUACUGAUUGAAUGGCUCGGAAACAGAAUUCAGUAGCGGCCAUCCGUCGGAUAACGGUUGAGAGCAUAUACAUGAUAUUCUGCAAUGGUUUUCAUCAGGCAACCAGGAUGAUGCCCAUCCUCCAUAUCGGUAUUGGAUUUCAUCAGGCAACCAGGAUGAUGCCCAUCCUCCAUAUCGGUAUUGGAUCCCAAUGGGCUUUCGAUCCUCCACCCAAUUUUCCAACAUCUCAUUCUUUCUUCCUAUUUCUUUCUUUCCCGUGGGUGGCCACAUGCUCUGGGGUUUGCUAGCAGAUAUGUAUUUUCGACACAAUCACAAGUUACUGCUAAUCAGGUUGUGUCUUUCUAUUUUCCUGUAUUAAUUUGCAAUGACUCAGUCAGUGAUAGUUUCUACUUUUCACUUUAUCACUCAGUAAAAGUUUUACAUGUUGCAAAUAUGUUUUGGAACUUAUUUGAACUUCCAUAAUUUAUUUUGCUGUGUAUGUGAUACGUACCUGGUCUGCUCAGCCUGCUUCCUGGAGUCUUCUGUUGGCCUGAUUUUCCCUAUGCAGGAGAACUCUACUCAGUUCAGCAGAAACUACCUCCAGACACAGCUUGGUUCUAGCAGCAGAGAAUCUUUCAAGACAGAAAUCGCAACCAACUAUGUAAUUCAGUAUAUGAACAAGCUAAUUGAAUCAACAACACAAUAACUUCUAAUCAUUUGUAUUAAUUCAGAAUAUUGCCAUGAAUAUAACUGUUCUUCUACAGUAUUCAGUUCAAUAAUAUUAAUACAAUUUGACAUGCCAUCAAAACCCAGCACAAAAGUACAUAACCAAAAUCUCUCCCUGCAGUCAUCCAAACCCCGAGAGGUUGGCCCUUCCUUCUUGCUCUCUUUCUUCUUAAUUACCCUCUUUCUCUUUCUCCUCUCUUUUAUAUCAUGUCUUCCCUUGUUGCUUUCCCGCUCUAUUAGUGUCACCUCAGCUAUAGGAGUUGUUAUGAUGCCUCUUGGCUUCUGCUGCAAGCUUGUUGCUUCAUCCUUAGUUGAAACUAGUCCCCUGCUUCAGCUCCAUUUUGCUGCUCUCCAAUGGCUUCAUUUUGCUGAUCUUCAGUGGUUUCUUCCGAGUUGCUGCUAGCAUUCCCUUUUUUGUUAGUUUUAUUUCUUACAUACACCUUCAUCCUAACAUUGCCCCGCCCAUCCAAAGGCUCCUUGUCCUCAAGGUGUAGGUAAGGAAAUAGGCGCCUGAUAUUGGUGUAUAAUUCCCAUGAAUUUUUGCAUUCGGGUAAGGUUUUCCACCGGAUGAGCAGUUCCAGGAGACCAUGGGGGGAAUACCUGUAACCCAGGACCUCCUCAGGUUGCACUGUCAGCUCCAUAUCUUCAUUCAAGCAGUUAGGCAGUGGCUGGGACAACAUUGACGAUCCUACUUGUUUCUUUAAUUGUGAAACAUGGAAAACAGGGUGGAUUUUAGCUUCUUCAGGCAACCGUAACCUAUAAGCAACCUGCCCUUUUCUUUCGAGUACCUCAUACGGUCCAUAAAAGCGUGGGCUAAGCUUCUCGUUCGGGCGAGAUGCUAACGAACGGAAACGAUAGGGCUGUAUUUUCAAGAAGACUCUAUCUCCCACCUGAAAUUCGAUCUCCCUUCUGUUUUUGUCGGCAGUCCUUUUCAUCCUCUCUUGAGCUUUGCUCAAGUGGUUUUUUAGUUCGUCCAGGAUCUGAUUCCUCUCCUGAAUUAGGGCUGUCACAGCUUCUAUUUUGGAAUCUUCUUCCACCCAUCUAAGUAGAGGGGGUGGAUCCCUCCCAUAAACCGCUCGGAACGGAGUCAUCCCGGCUGAGCUAUGGAAGGUCGUGUUGUACCAAUACUCAGCCCAUGGUAACCAUUUCUGCCAGUUUCUAGGCUGUCUCCCACAGAAACAGCGAAGAUAUGUUUCGAGGCCUCAGUUUACCACUUCGGUUUGCCCAUCUGUUUGCGGAUGGUAAGCCGAACUGAAUUUCAGGGUAGUCCCGGCUGCUCUGAAUAGUUCCUUCCAGAAUACACUCAUAAAAAUGCGGUCCCGAUCCGUUAUGAUGGUGCGAGGGAACCCGUGAAGGCGCACAAUUUCAUGAAUAAAUAUUUCAGCUAUAUCCUUAGCCGUGAAUGGGUGCCGAACAGCCAAGAAAUGUCCAUACUUUGUCAAUCUGUCCACAACCACCAAGAUCACACUCACUCCUUUCACUUUUGGAAGCCCUGUUAUGAAGUCCAUGGACAGGUCUUCCCACACGUUUGAUGGAAUCGGUAAAGGCUGCAGUAACCCCGCCGGAGAGGCUGCCUCGUACUUCAUUCUCUGACAUACAUCACAUUCAGCUACAAACUUUCUAAUGUCAGAUUUCAUGCCUUCCCAGAACAGCAGAGAAGUCAGCCUUUUAUAUGUUCGGAAAAAACCGGAGUGGCCUCCGUAAGAUGAAGAAUGAAAUUCUGAAAUGAGUUUCUGAAUGUACCUGGAUUGCUUCGAAAUGACUAACCUGCCAUGGUACAUCAGUAUGCCUCCCUUCAAGGAAUAUCCAGGGAAGGUUGUAGAAUUGCAGAGCAGCCCUUGAACAAUCUGUUUUAGUUUCUCAUCCCCUGCUACUUCCUGCUGCAACCAUUCGGACUCUUCCACCUGGAAUGCUGAAACAGCUUGCAAGGCCCCCGUGAAUUUGGGGUUACGCGACAGAGCGUCAGCUGCUUUAUUUUCACAUCCGGGCCGAUAGAUAAUUUCGAAAUCGUAUCUUAGCAUCUUCACCAGCCAGCGUUGUUGAUCAGGGCUUGUUAUUUUCUGUUCUGUAAGGAAUUUCAGGCUCCUUUGGUCCGUUCGCACCUUGAAACGCCUGUCAAGGAGGUAAUGUCUCCAUUUCUGGAAUGCCAACACUAUCGCCAUCAGCUCCCGUUCGUAAACUGAUUUGCUUCGGUUCCUCACAGAAAGAGCUUUGCUGAGAUAAGAGAUGGGCCGUCCCCCUUGCAUCAAAACCGCCCCAAUGCCGGAUCCGGAGGCAUCCGUUUCCACCACGAACUCUUGAGAGAAAUCAGGAACUGUCAGAACUGGUACAGAGAUCAUGGCAGCCUUGAGAGCUUCAAAUGCUUUCCCUGGUUCAGGCCCCCAUUUGAAUGCAUUUUUCCGUAAUAAGUUGGUUAGGGGCUCCGCGAUCUUUCCGUAACCUUUUACGAAUCUUCGGUAAUACCCCGUUAACCCUAAAAACCCCCGAAGCUCCCUCAAAUCCCUCGGUACCGGCCAAGCUUCCAUAUCACUAAUUUUCCGUGGGUCUGCCUCCACCCCUCUCUCAGACACAAUGUGUCCCAAAUAUUCAAUCUGUUUCUGCCCAAACAUACAUUUCUUUUUAUUUAAGACCAGCUGAUGUUUUCGCAGGAUAAGCAUUACCAGCCUUAGGUGUUCCAGGUGCUCUCGAAGGCCUCCACUAUAUAUUAGUAUAUCAUCGAAGAAUACUAGAACGAACUUGCGUAGGAGGGGCCGAAAGAUUUCAUUCUUCAAUCCCUGGAAGGUGGCUGGCGCAUUGGUUAGACCGAACGGCAUUACCAGAAAUUCAUAAUGCCCUUCGUGUGUUCGAAAUGCAGUCUUCUCAACGUCCCCAUCCCAGAUUCUGAUUUGAUGGUACCCGGACUUGAGAUCCGGUUUGCUGAAUAUUCUUGCACCCCCCAACUCAUCCAGAAGCUCCUCAAUGGUGGGAAUAGGAAAUUUGUCGGGUACAGUAAUUCGAUUCAAAGCCCGAUAAUCCACACAAAAUCUCCAUUCUCCGUCCUUUUUGCGUACUAGGAUCACCGGACUCGAAAAAGGACUCACACUUGGCCGAAUGACCCCUGCAGUGAGCAUCUCUUGCACCAUUUUUUCGAUCUCAUUCUUCUGAUAGUAGGGGUAGCGGUAAGGACGCAAAUUGGGCGGUUGGGCUCCGUCCAGUAUACGGAUUGCAUGGUCCUGUUUCCUCUUAGGUGGGAGGCCCUGUGGUUCCUUAAAUAAAUCUUCGAACUCUCUCAACAAUUCUGAAAUUUCUGGUUCAUUUGCCUCUCCCCUUAUUGGUGAGUGUUCUGAAAUCAUGUUCAAUUCCACCCAGAAAGCUUCCCCUUUUUUUCUGAUGAGUUUGAACAGUACCUUGAGUGAGGUCUCCACCUUCCGCAAUGAAGAUUUUCCUCUUAAUUCAACCUUCUUUCCUUCCCACCUGAAUUUCAUAAUCUGGUUUCCCCAAUUAAUCUUGACCUCCCCCAAAUUUUUAAGCCAUUCCAUCCCUAAAAUGACAUCCACUCCACCUAAGCAGAAGGGAAGAAAAUUCUGUUUGAUAAUGAGUUCUGGAAGUGUCAGCUGGAGACCUUCACAUCUCCCUAUCCCAGAAACCUUCCUGUCAUCGCCCAACACCACUGUGUAUUUUGCCUUUCGUACGGGAAUUUUGAGCUCGGCUACCAGCUUCUCGGAGAUGAAAUUGUGAGUCGCCCCACUGUCAAUCAAUGCUAUCACCCGUCUUCCACCAAUUUCCCCUACCAAUUUCAUAGUUUUGGGCGAAUCCCUCCCUAUUACCGAGUUACUGUUUAGGUUGGCCUCUCCGGCAUCUUCUUCCACCGAAGCGUCAUCCUCCAUUAUGUCUCUCUCUUCGUCGGAUUCUUCUUCGGAAAUCAUAAUUCUCAGCUGACGAAAACGGCAACGAUGGCCUGGGACAAACUUCUCGUCGCACCUGAAGCACAAUCCUUUUUCCACCUUCGCGCGAAACUAAGCUUCUGAGAGUCGUCGGAAAUUAUUGUCCCGCCUCAGAGAGAAAGACGACGUGCUGGACGUAGUCGGUGGUCGGAAACGCGGAUCGUGAGGAGAGUUGGAAUGAGCUGAGGCAUCUGGUCGAUUUUGGAAGGGAGGGCGUGUAUUAGAAUUGCUGCGGGUCGGGUGUGGGUUCGGGUCCAGCGUUGGGCCUGUGACGCUCUUGCUGGGCUGUUGGUGGUUGGGCGCGUAAUUGGGCCUAUCUUUGGAGCCCAUGGCAGCUGGUUGGGGUGAAAUAAGUAUUGGGUUGGGGUGUGAAAAGUAUCCGGGUCGGGUGGCUUGGCCUGUGGUUCGUGGGUACCCCUUGCCGGGUCGCCCCAAAUACUUUUCAUCAAUCACCAGGUUCUUCUUCUCCACCUGGCGCGCGCGGUUCAUCAUCUCCACGAGCGUCCGAGGGUGAAACAUCUUCACCUCGGCUCUGAUUUCUUCGGCUAGCCCGUUGAUGAAGAUCACCUUUAUCGUUUCCUCUGAUAAUCCUUCGACUGCCGCCGACAACAUUUCGAAACGGCUUCGGAACUCCUGCACCGUCCCUGUCAUGCGAAGGCUGAAGAGCUCCUCCUGGGCUGUACGUUCAUCGGUCGGAGGAAAACAUUCGAGCACUUCUCUCCUAAACUCUUCCCACCCAUCGAACGGUUGGUGCUUCUCUCUCCACUGCAACUAGUGCAAGGCAUCUCCCUCCAUGCACACGCCUACCGCCGUCAUCCUCUCCCGUUCCGUAAGGCGGUUCACCUGGAAGUAGCGCUCGACCUUGGAUACCCAGUCGAGGGUCUCCUCGCCAUGAAACAGAGGUAAUUCCAGACGCCCAUAAUGCCACUCUCUCCUAUUUCCUGUUGACACCUCCUCUGCCUCUUCCACGACGUCCUCCGCUUGGUCCUGGGGAGUCGCCGAGUUCCCUUUUGUUGGUGGGGAAUACGACGGCGACGGGUUGGUCUCUACCCUCACAUUCGUCUCCCUCGUCCCUGUCUCUCUGUUGCCUCCCUCACGGCUCACCACCGACUCCCUCAUCUCCCUCAGAUACUCUCUAAUCGUUUCCAUACUAGCUUCCACCCUUUCCAUUCUCACAUUCACGUCUCUCAUUUCUGACCCAAUCAUUUCCAUCUUCUCCUUCACCGUUGUAACCUCCGCCUCCAAGCCCUCCACUCUUGACUCCAUUCUCGUCAUGCUCUGAUACCAGUUGAUACGUACCUGGUCUGCUCAGCCUGCUUCCUGGAGUCUUCUGUUGGCCUGAUUUUCCCUAUGCAGGAGAACUCUACUCAGUUCAGCAGAAACUACCUCCAGACACAGCUUGGUUCUAGCAGCAGAGAAUCUUUCAAGACAGAAAUCGCAACCAACUAUGUAAUUCAGUAUAUGAACAAGCUAAUUGAAUCAACAACACAAUAACUUCUAAUCAUUUGUAUUAAUUCAGAAUAUUGCCAUGAAUAUAACUGUUCUUCUACAGUAUUCAGUUCAAUAAUAUUAAUACAAUUUGGCAUGCCAUCAAAACCCAGCACAAAAGUACAUAACCAAAAUCUCUCCCUGCAGUCAUCCAAACCCCGAGAGGUUGGCCCUUCCUUCGUGCUCUCUUUCUUCUUAAUUACCCUCUUUCUCUUUCUCCUCUCUUUUAUAUCAUGUCUUCCCUUGUUGCUUUCCCGCUCUAUCAGUGUCACCUCAGCUAUAGGAGUUGUUAUGAUGCCUCUUGGCUUCUGCUGCAAACUUGCUGCUUCAUCCUUAGUUGAAACUGGUCCCCUGCUUCAGCUCCAUUUUGCUGCUCUCCAAUGGCUUCAUUUUGCUGAUCUUCAGUGGUUUCUUCCGAGUUGCUGCUAGCAUUCCCUUUUUUGUUAGUUUUAUUUCUUACAUACACCUUCAUCCUAACAGUAUGAUUGCCUAAUUAAGAAAAACCUGUGCUGUAACCCAUGAUAGAGACAAACCACGACCACUAGAUAGAUUUAUUGUACUAGAACCGUGUUACAUUACAAGGUAAACAGGUAAGGAUAAACUUUUUUCAAACCAUAUUUGAUCUCUUGCUUCAGUCAUACUUAAGUAAAACUUUUAUAAGCAAACAACAAUCUGAUAUUCUUAACAUGUGUAUUUUGACUAUUCCUCGACCAUCUUUUCUUCAACAAUCUGAUAGCUUUUCAAUUAUACUUAACAUGUUAGGUAAUCAUAUUUGUUCGAAACUUAUAGUUUCGACAUGUUAGGUAAUCAUAUUUGUUCGAAAUUUAUAGUUUCAACAAAUGGAUUGGAUGACUACAAGCCAGCAAUAGCAAUGGUUGUGUUGUAAUUAUUUUCUGUGCAAUUUUCUUUUUAAAGGGUAAGUUUCUGUCUGCGGGAUUUGCUCUCUACAAUAUGGCUGCUUUGGUACAGGGAAUGACCACCACAUUUUGUUGUUUACACAGUCUACGCAAGAAAUAAACUUCUUGUACAUCAUUUUUCCGAAGGAUAAGCCUUGGUUGGAUUCUUUUAGCAUCUCUUAUUGGGAAAUUGGUUUGGCACGGCACUCACAUAUUGGAGAGUAAUCUACACUGCAAUCAAUUAUUUUACUUCCUCUGCUCUCUUAUAUAAUAAUAACAUACUGAUGUCACCAAAAAAUUUCCUCACUGUUUCAUCUUGGAGAGAAAAAAAAAAAAGUUCAGUUACCUAAUGAAAUUUGUUUAUUGCAAUAAA
This is an RNA transcript of Mangifera indica (mango), 11894 nucleotides long. RefSeq lists it as uncharacterized. The transcript has 7 exons. The record is from RefSeq and is a predicted model, not a curated record. NCBI's taxonomy places the organism in Eukaryota, Viridiplantae, Streptophyta, Magnoliopsida, Sapindales, Anacardiaceae.